UUGUUUUAUUCUUUAAAUUUUUUAAAAAUUAAACUCGUAAUUGUAAACACUUUUCCAAUUUUGUGGUGAUGAAGUACAAAUUCUAAUGCCGCCAUUUUUGAAACAUUUCAAGUGCUCCAUUUCAAAGCAAAGUAUAGCCUGUGGUAAUUAAAAAAGAGGCCUUUUUAAUGUCUAGCUUCUACCAGGCCCACAUUAAGGCCUGCUGUUAAGAAACAAAGCCUGGCAUGUAGGGUCAGACUGCAAUCAAGGUGUAUCAUUAGUACAGAAAGGAGUUAGAAGAUACUCCGCCCAAAAAUAUACUACAUAAAAUCUAAUAGUUUUUAUAGAUUUAUGUAAAAGUCAAGCAACAUAAAAUAUGAAUUUACAAGAUGGAAAGCAAAAUUAAAGGAUGCUAUUUUAUGAUGCUCCAAGAAUGGAAUCACUGUGCCAAAAUUUAUCCAAUUACUGGAGCAUAAACGUAUGAAAAAAAGAUUUAGAUAUAGUUUAUAAAACGUUAUUUUGGAUGUAGGAAAAGAGAGAAAGAGUAAGAAUUGCAGAAGGAAAAAGAACAUUUUUUAGUAGGAAUUGCAGAAAAAAAAUGGUAUUGUUUUAGUAGGAGAAGAUAGGAAGAUGAGAAAUUGUAGAGAAAAAAAUGAAAUUUUGUUGAGUAAGGAGAAAAAUUUUAAAGGAUAAAGAAGAC
Centruroides sculpturatus (bark scorpion) is the source of this 679-nucleotide long non-coding RNA. RefSeq lists it as uncharacterized. The transcript is spliced from 4 exons. The record is from RefSeq and is a predicted model, not a curated record. NCBI's taxonomy places the organism in Eukaryota, Metazoa, Arthropoda, Arachnida, Scorpiones, Buthidae.